RNAcentral lists this ribosomal RNA (253 nucleotides) under uncultured bacterium. RNAcentral's name for it is "partial 16S ribosomal RNA". It matches the Rfam family "Bacterial small subunit ribosomal RNA", at positions 524 to 776 of the family's 1533-position model. The record is from RNAcentral.
UACAGAGGUCCCAAGCGUUGUUCGGAUUCACUGGGCGUAAAGGGUGCGUAGGCGGUUGGGUAAGUCUGUCGUGAAAUCUCCGAGCCUAACUCGGAAACUGCGUCGGAUACUAUUCAACUCGAGGAAUGGAGGGGAGACUGGAAUUCUCGGUGUAGCAGUGAAAUGCGUGGAUAUCGAGAGGAACACCAGUGGCGAAGGCGAGUCUCUGGACGACUCCUGACACUGAGGCACGAAAGCCAGGGGAGCAAACAGG